RNAcentral lists this ribosomal RNA (228 nucleotides) under uncultured bacterium. Its description in RNAcentral is "partial 16S ribosomal RNA". It matches the Rfam family "Bacterial small subunit ribosomal RNA", at positions 1272 to 1500 of the family's 1533-position model. The record is from RNAcentral.
CUCAAAAAAAUAAGUCUCAGUUCGGAUUGAAGGCUGAAAUUCGCCUUCAUGAAGCCGGAAUUGCUAGUAAUGGCAGGUCAGCAUACUGCCGUGAAUACGUUCCCGGGCCUUGUACACACCGCCCGUCACACCAUGAGAGUUGGGAGUACCCGAAGCCUGUGAGCUAACUUUUAGAGGCAGCAGUCGAAGGUAGAAUCAAUGAUUGGGGUGAAGUCGUAACAAGGUAUC